This 453-nucleotide long non-coding RNA is filed under the name Felis catus (domestic cat). RNAcentral's name for it is "lncRNA (ENSFCAG00000049345.1)". Lineage: Eukaryota; Metazoa; Chordata; Mammalia; Carnivora; Felidae. The record is from RNAcentral.
AUGGCGCCCCCUUAUGGGAGGACACACACCUGGGAGCUCCCAGGCUAUCGUGAGUGGACUCUGAGGCCCCCCCAAAUGCAGCAGCUGGUUUCAGAGGCUGACGUGGGCUCCAGGAAUCACAGUCACCUAGUGGCUCACUGUACAAUGUACAAUGGCCCUCUACCCGGGGACCUCCAGAAGAAAUCAGGGCAGCCAGGGAUGUGCGUUCAGAGUUGGUUCUGGGUUCAGGUCCUGGCCUUGCCCGUCUCCAGCCAGGCGACCCGCACAGGUGGCAGGACCACGGGAGCAGCAGGUGGCCCGGUGACAUUGUUCCAUGAGGUCAAGGAUGCAAAAGUCGUAGAAGCUGCUGGAGCCUUGUUAAAGGGAGGGCCCCUCGUGUCUGCUGAGAUUCCUUCCCUCAGUUGUGUGUGCCCGGGGACCCAGCCUUCUUCCGGUGCUCACAACACAUACUAG